Molecule: transfer RNA, 104 nt
Filed under: Fusarium oxysporum
Lineage: Eukaryota; Fungi; Ascomycota; Sordariomycetes; Hypocreales; Nectriaceae
Description: tRNA-Phe
Rfam family: tRNA
About the family: Transfer RNA (tRNA) molecules are approximately 80 nucleotides in length. Their secondary structure includes four short double-helical elements and three loops (D, anti-codon, and T loops).
Source: RNAcentral
GCGGGUUUAGCUCAGUUGGGAGAGCGUCAGACUGAAGUCAAACUUCAAUCCUCACCGAAUCAAGUGGCAUCUGAAGGUCGUGUGUUCGAUCCACACAAACCGCA